Long non-coding RNA from Mesocricetus auratus (golden hamster), 555 nucleotides. RefSeq lists it as uncharacterized. The transcript has 3 exons. The record is from RefSeq and is a predicted model, not a curated record. Lineage: Eukaryota; Metazoa; Chordata; Mammalia; Rodentia; Cricetidae.
UUGUUAGGAGCACCUGGCGCUUCAGGUCUCCAGCAGCGGGCAGGGGCGAGAAGGUUGGUUUCUAGCGGUACACCCAUCACCAACCUUCCUAAGAAUCCAAACAAGCUGAACGUCCUACGUUUCCUAUCGGCCUAAUUUUGUCCUGAGAAGAGUGAGGAAAUGACUUUUUCCAGAAUGCUGGGGAAGGCACGCUGAGUGUCCCGCACAUAUAAAAAGCCCAAUUUCUCUCCUCAGAUGUCAGCACCCGCUACUGAUAUUGCCAGAGGUAAUGAAGUCCUUUGUCACUGACCCGAGAAUCACAUGACUUUCGCCAGCUCCAUAUAAAACUAUGGCAAGCUGAUAUGUUCAGACUUUUCUUAAAGGAGUUAAAAAUCUGGGAACUACCCCUGACCUAAUUUGCCACAGGAAGACCCUGUGCUGAAUGAAGAAGGCCAUGCAUCUGUUGUUUGUCUGUUUGUCUCUUCUGAAUCAUCUGAGGAGGGACUUGUGACCUCCGGGUGCUGGGCCCUGUGUCUGUACUGAGGUGACUAAAAGCAAUGUGUCUGGACGCAGAGU